ACUUUAAGGGGAGUGCAUGCAGAUUACACUUUACCCAGGUUGCUUCAGUUGGGAAGAAAUGUUCGGAGGAGCCAAAGAUAACAACCGUAGAGCCUCUCCCUUCCCUGCCCCUGGCAGUGCCUCCUGUCACCGUGCAUCUCUCCUGUCUUAUCCUGCCCAUUCUGCAGGCCACUAACUAUUUGCCUGUUCGGGCCCAAACAGAAUCGCUUGACCAGUGGUGGAGACAGAAAGAAAGAUCCAAAGUGCGUGAGAGCACAUUCUGAUGGCCUGCCCGCCUCCCUUUCAGGAAGAACAUUCUUUGUAGGUAACUCCUUCUGAGCACCCCGACUUCAUAGUUCUGAGGUACAAUGGGCAGCAGGGAACUGAGCAGGAAGCCAACUGGAAUCAAGGGAACGACGCUGGCUGCCAUGUUGGUCAUGACCGCACUACCUCCCUCUGGACAUUCUGAAUAACAUCUGCCUUUCAUUUGACCUCACAACAACAUUGGGAGGCAGGUGCUACAAUUAUCCCCUUUUGACAGGUGAAGGUGAGGCACAAAGAGAUUGAGUAACCUGCCCAAGUUCACACAAUGAAUUAGUGGUGGAGCUUCUACUCACAAUGCAGUCCUUUUGAUCCAUCCUAUUGCUCAACUGUGGUACAGCAUCAAGAACAUCACCAGGGUGAGGGCAGGGGGAACUGUGUGGCUGAAAUUGGAGAUAACUCGUAAGCUCUAUCCACAAGGAUAUAAAACUUCACAAGAGCAAGGUCCCGAGUUCAAUUCCUGGUACUGAAAAAGACAAUUCAUGUCAGGAUCAGAGGCUCAUUAGGCAAUGAUUUGCACCCAGAAGGCAAAGGUGGGCCUGCAGUGAAUCAAGAGACUCCCAUUCUCAGCUACGAAAUUGAAUAAGUGCUGGAAGCAAUGAUUGCAUACCUAUUAUGCCAGAUACUCAGGAGACCAAGGCAGAAAGAUCACAAGUUC
Heterocephalus glaber (naked mole-rat) is the source of this 958-nucleotide long non-coding RNA. NCBI's taxonomy places the organism in Eukaryota, Metazoa, Chordata, Mammalia, Rodentia, Bathyergidae. The record is from Ensembl.